This 433-nucleotide ribosomal RNA is filed under the name uncultured bacterium. Its description in RNAcentral is "bacterial SSU rRNA". It matches the Rfam family "Bacterial small subunit ribosomal RNA", at positions 917 to 1345 of the family's 1533-position model. The record is from RNAcentral.
GGGCUCACACAAGCGGUGGAGGAUGUGGCUUAAUUCGAGGCUACGCGAAGAACCUUAUCCUAGAUUUGACAUGCUUGAGAAUUCUUUCGAAAGAUUGAAGUGCCCCUCGGGGAGCUUUUGCACAGGUGCUGCAUGGCUGUCGUCAGCUCGUGUCGUGAGAUGUCGGGUUAAGUCCCUUAACGAGCGAAACCCUUAUCUCUAGUUGCCAGCGGGUAAUGCCGGGGACUCUAGAGAGACUGCCGGUGUCAAACCGGAGGAAGGUGGGGAUGACGUCAAGUCCUCAUGGCCUUUAUGUCUAGGGCUGCACACGUCCUACAAUGGUACGGACAAACGGACGCUAAACCGCGAGGUGGAGCAAAUCCUAGAAACCGUGCCUCAGUUCGGAUUGCAGGCUGCAACUCGCCUGCAUGAAGCCGGAAUCGCUAGUAAUCGC